This is a long non-coding RNA of Acanthochromis polyacanthus (spiny chromis), 2122 nucleotides long. RefSeq lists it as uncharacterized. The transcript has 5 exons. The record is from RefSeq and is a predicted model, not a curated record. Lineage: Eukaryota; Metazoa; Chordata; Actinopteri; Pomacentridae.
GUUCCCCACUUGUGAGAGACACGAUGAAGAGGAGUUAUCCCAGUGGGGCAGAAAAGAAAAAGCAGAGGAAGGAAAAGGAGGAAAAAAGAAAGAAAGACAGUGGAUCAUUACUAACUUUUUUAAAAUCAAAAAAUCCAGGGAAGGAUAAUGUUCCCCCUCCCAUUCCUGAUGAUGAAAACUUUCCAUCAACAUCCACCUCCAGCAGCACAGCAGUUUCCCAACCUCCUGCGCAGAAGAUCCAACAGAUGAUCAAAGAUCAAUUUCAACUGCGGAUACAGAUGACUUUCCAUCAAGACCCGAAGGUGAAGCAUUGCUCUCAGCGGACCCUGCACAAUGGCCAAGCAUCCUAAGCAGUGUUGCCAAACUUAGCGACUUUCUCGCUAAAUCUAGCGACUUUUCAAAGCUCCUAGCGACUUUUUUGUCAAAAGCGACUAGCGACAAAUCUAGCGACUUUUUCUGCCGUUUUGGCGACUGACAGGAAAACUCGGCUCAUUCUGCAGUUACUGUUUUCAACAAGCAGCAGGUGCUGCUGUGAGCUUCUCCCCCUCCCACAGGCUGUCAGUCCAGUAACCCUGCAGCGGUCCCAGUGAGGGGAGGGGGAGACCCACAUCACUCCGCAGACAGACGGCAGAUGAAUCGCGCAUGCGCAAAGUCACUACAGAUCCCAUCCAGACUUACGGAGCGGAAUAUAAACGAAAAUGUUUCUUCACUGUCAUGCUAAAAUAAACCACAGCAUUUAGCCUCGAGUGAAAAAACAUAUUUUGGGUGUUUCAUACUCACUUUUUGGUCUCUUCCACAACGUUAUUCCUCUCUCCUACAACGUUGAUUACAAUUACAUGCAAACUGGGAAAUAUGCAAAUUAGGUGAUGACGUCAUUUAGCGACUUCUAGCGACUUUUAGGACAGCCAAUAGCGACUUUCCUUACUGAGGAGUUGGCAACAGUGAUCCUAAGCCAUACCGAACUGUGCCAGCUGGUAACAAGGGGACCCAUACAGGUGAAAGAUAUGGCUUUCCCCCAGAAUACAGACAAAACUCCACGUAGAUUCAAAAAGGAAUAUUCCGAUAUGACCAUGAAAAAUGGUGACAAAAUACAGCGAAGAUGGCUUAUGUAUUCAGUCAGUACAGACUCAGUCUUCUGCUUUGCAUGCAAGCUUUUUGGAAAACUGGACAAUUCACUUACCAAAGGGGGAUUUAGGAAUUGGAAAAACAUAGCUGGUCAUUUAAAGGAACAUGAGCAUUCAAAGACACAUCAUACCUGUCAGAGCCCUCUCCUCACCCCUGUCCUGUCUGGCAUCCCAAAAACCCCAUCCUAUCUGUCUCCCACUUUUUCUCUCUCUUCUUUGCUCUCUUCUGUUCUCUCUCUCUCCCCAGCACUGCACCUGGGUGGAGCGCGGCCUCAGCUGCCUCCACUCAGGUAAUCAGCUUCACUACGAGACCCGGACAGCUGUGCCUCAUCUCACUGAUUACAUCCUCUGCAAUAAAGACCAGCUGAACCUACCACACCCUGCCCGAUUGUUGCACUCGACCACACAAAUCCUGCCGUCCAGGUCGUCACCUGCUUCACCUGUUUGGGACUGUGUCUGGAGACAAUUCGGCUCCCAGCCUGCCUGCCUGGAACCCAUUCCUGGGUUAUUUUCCCUGUUAGAUUACCUGCUCAACUCAGUCCUCGAAGCCUCCAGCCACUCCGGCUCCGAUCAGCCUGUGGCUUCCUAUCAAACAUCCUCCCGGAAUCAAAAGACGAUCACUGACGUCUGGCCCACUCACCAACACGGUCCCCUGGAUCAUCAGUGUCCGACGACCUCCGCAUCUCCGACUCCAGCUUCCCACCACUGUCGACUGGCCCAAUUACCAGCACGGCCCCCCGGAUCGACAGCAUUCUCCAUUUCCCCGUACCUCCGGCUCCUGCUCCAUUCCACCCUCCGUCUGCAUUCACCACCGGCCGCCAAGGAUCUGCCAACAUCAGCCGUCGCACUCUGGUUCCCCCAAACCUACGACGACUGCCGAUCCCCGGCUCCAGAACUCUGUACAAAAUCCACUCAGUAUCCAUCCGGCUCCACGCAUUCAGGUUCCCUGCAUUCCUUUCCAUAAUUCAUCUUCAUACAAUAAAACAUUCUUAAAUUCC